UACGUAGGGGGCUAGCGUUGUCCGGAAUCAUUGGGCGUAAAGCGCGUGUAGGCGGUUCGGUAAGUCUGCCGUGAAAACCCAGGGCUCAACCCUGGGCGUGCGGUGGAUACUGCCGGGCUAGAGGGUGGUAGAGGCGAGUGGAAUUCCCGGUGUAGCGGUGAAAUGCGCAGAUAUCGGGAGGAACACCAACGGCGAAGGCAGCACUCUGGGCUGGAACUGACGCUGAGGAGCGAAAGCGUGGGUAGCAAACAGG
Molecule: ribosomal RNA, 253 nt
Filed under: uncultured bacterium
Lineage: Bacteria
Description: partial 16S ribosomal RNA
Rfam family: Bacterial small subunit ribosomal RNA
Source: RNAcentral